RNAcentral lists this unclassified non-coding RNA (313 nucleotides) under Hevea brasiliensis (rubber tree). The record is from RNAcentral. Lineage: Eukaryota; Viridiplantae; Streptophyta; Magnoliopsida; Malpighiales; Euphorbiaceae.
CCUUAAACAAUCGAAAACGAAGAGAUCAAUCUCUCUCUCUCUCUCUGAAAAAAGUAAAAAGAAAUCCUCCAAUGGGUCCCUUUCCCAAAUCCCUAACUUUCCUUCAAGUUCCUGCACUUUUCAUUGCUUUCUUCCUCUUUCUCUCUACUCUCUUCCCAUUUUUCGCAGCAUCCCAGCUGUCCAUCUACGACCACCUCCACCAAAACGGCCUCCCCAUUGGCCUCCUCCCUAAGGGCAUUACCGACUUUUCAGUCGAGCCCACCACCGGUCACUUCCAGAUAAAUCUAACCCAACCUUGCAAUGCCAAAUUCGA